This 479-nucleotide ribosomal RNA is filed under the name uncultured organism. RNAcentral describes it as "bacterial SSU rRNA". It matches the Rfam family "Bacterial small subunit ribosomal RNA", at positions 28 to 507 of the family's 1533-position model. The record is from RNAcentral.
GAUGAACGCUAGCGGGAGGCCUAACACAUGCAAGCCGAGCGGUAGAAGAUCUUCGGAUCUUUGAGAGCGGCGUACGGGUGCGGAACACGUGUGCAACCUGCCUUUAUCAGGGGGAUAGCCUUUCGAAAGGAAGAUUAAUACCCCAUAAUAUAAUGAGUGGCAUCACUUAUUAUUGAAAACUCCGGUGGAUAGAGAUGGGCACGCGCAAGAUUAGAUAGUUGGUAGGGUAACGGCCUACCAAGUCAGUGAUCUUUAGGGGGCCUGAGAGGGUGAUCCCCCACACUGGUACUGAGACACGGACCAGACUCCUACGGGAGGCAGCAGUGAGGAAUAUUGGACAAUGGGUGAGAGCCUGAUCCAGCCAUCCCGCGUGAAGGACGACGGCCCUAUGGGUUGUAAACUUCUUUUGUAUAGGGAUAAACCUUUCCACGUGUGGAAAGCUGAAGGUACUAUACGAAUAAGCACCGGCUAACUCCGUG